AACGAACGCUGGCGGCAUGCCUAACACAUGCAAGUCGAACGAUGCCUUCGGGCAUAGUGGCGCACGGGUGCGUAACGCGUGGGAAUCUGCCCUUGGCUUCGGAAUAACAGUUAGAAAUGACUGCUAAUACCGGAUGAUGUCCCCCUGAGAGAUCUUGGGGACCAAAGAUUUAUCGGCCAGGGAUGAGCCCGCGUAGGAUUAGGUAGUUGGUGGGGUAAAGGCCUACCAAGCCGACGAUCCUUAGCUGGUCUGAGAGGAUGAUCAGCCACACUGGGACUGAGACACGGCCCAGACUCCUACGGGAGGCAGCAGUGGGGAAUAUUGGACAAUGGGGGGAACCCUGAUCCAGCAAUGCCGCGUGAGUGAUGAAGUCCUUAGGGUUGUAAAGCUCUUUUACCAGGGAUGAUAAUGACAGUACCUGGAGAAUAAGCUCCGGCUAACUCCGUG
RNAcentral lists this ribosomal RNA (447 nucleotides) under uncultured bacterium. Its description in RNAcentral is "partial 16S ribosomal RNA". It matches the Rfam family "Bacterial small subunit ribosomal RNA", at positions 29 to 507 of the family's 1533-position model. The record is from RNAcentral.